This 503-nucleotide ribosomal RNA is filed under the name Penaeus hathor. RNAcentral's name for it is "partial 12S ribosomal RNA". The stretch from base 135 to 503 matches the Rfam family "Microsporidia small subunit ribosomal RNA", at positions 752 to 1218 of the family's 1311-position model. Lineage: Eukaryota; Metazoa; Arthropoda; Malacostraca; Decapoda; Penaeidae. The record is from RNAcentral.
GUACUGAUAAAAGGUGAAAUUAAUUUUUUAGUAUGUGGAAGCGUAAAGUGCAAGGUUUAAAUUGAAGCUAUUAAGGUAAAGGAAUGAACCAGGAUUAGAUACCCUGUUACACUUUAUUUAAAUGAUAAUUACCUGGGUACUAAGCAGUUAUUAUCUUGAAACUCAAAGGAUUUGGCGGUAACUUAGUCUAUUUAGAGGAACCUGUCCUGUAAUCGAUAGUCCACGCAAUAUUUUACUUUAUCUUGUAGGAAACAGUUUGUAUACCGUCAUUAUUAGAUAACUUUAAAAAAAUGUAGAGUUAUUGCAAUAGUUUAGCUAGUAAAUUAGAUCAAGGUGCAGCUUAUGGUAAAGUAGAGAUGGGUUACAAUAUAAUAAGCAUAGACGGAGUAAUGAAUGAAGGUUCAUUGUGAAGGUGGAUUUAAGAGUAAAAAGAUUUUAAUAAGAUCUUUUGACUUUAGCUCUAGGUUAUGUACACAUCGCCCGUCGCUCUCGUUAAUUAAAGC